UGGGGAAUUUUGGACAAUGGGCGCAAGCCUGAUCCAGCCAUUCCGCGUGAGUGAAGAAGGCCUUCGGGUUGUAAAGCUCUUUCGCAAGGGAAGAAACGAUACCGACGAAUAAUCGGUGUUAAUGACGGUACCUUGAUAAGAAGCACCGGCUAACUACGUGCCAGCAGCCGCGGUAAUACGUAGGGUGCGAGCGUUAAUCGGAAUUACUGGGCGUAAAGCGUGCGCAGGCGGUUUUGUAAGUCAGAUGUGAAAUCCCCGGGCUCAACCUGGGAACUGCGUUUGAAACUACAAGGCUAGAGUAUGGUAGAGGGGGGUAGAAUUCCACGUGUAGCAGUGAAAUGCGUAGAGAUGUGGAGGAAUACCAAUGGCGAAGGCAGCCCCCUGG
Molecule: ribosomal RNA, 385 nt
Filed under: uncultured bacterium
Lineage: Bacteria
Description: bacterial SSU rRNA
Rfam family: Bacterial small subunit ribosomal RNA
Source: RNAcentral